CUGAGGGCUGCCGCCACACCAAAUCUUUGGCAAGGCUUAGGCAAGAACCUUUGGCAUUACAUUUUUGGCGGGCCAGCCAGGAGGAUCUCCAGGAAAGGCAUCUAGAUCGUCACGUGGCGAGUACGAUGGGACCUCUUUGGCUUGCUAUUCUAUCCUGUCCUUCCUUAGAAUUCAGAGGCUAAACCGGGCACCUGUCAGCCACUUAAAGGUGAUUAUCGCGGCCAUGGGACUAAAGACAGGGUGUCAGCCUCUCUGGAAAAGGGCUAACAACCCCUACCCUUUGGGACUGGGAAUGUUGGAUCGAGGCCAUCAAUCUACAGAUGAUCUUACACAUGGAACCUCAAAUGAGCUCAACUCAUGCUUCUACCAAGGACCCCUGGAUCCACCCGCUGGUCCCUCACUAGCCUAAAAACUUCUCCUCUGGAAGACACCACAACUACAGGUCCCCUUCUUUGCCCCUAACCAGCAGGAAGUAGCCAGAAUGACCGCCGCCCUGUUCCCAACAGCGGUUGGUGUGUCCUGUCUAGAGGGGGGACUGAGUUGGUUCCAGCUGGGCUUUCUGGGUUAAGUAGGGGCUCAGAAAGCUGCGAAACUCACUCAUUUCCUACAUCAUGGCUUACUUUGGUCCUGGAUGAAUAAUAUUGACGAUAUAUGCUUAAAAUAUUCCUAACAUCAGAAUUUGUGCAUGUGUUUUCUUCCCCCAAGAAAGCUAUAAAAAGCGAAACUUUUGCUGUAAGCUUACCUGUGUCCAUGCUCCCUCUCUCCCUUCCUCAUCCCCUGAAACUGAAAGGAAUUUUAACAGCCAGUUUUUCUGUGACCAGCAGAACUUGUCUAUGCUCCCAAUUCCAAUUCCUUGUAAACACAAUUUGUAAAAUCCUGUGAGAUUCUGUCUCCUUUGCCAUGCCACUGCAAGGUUAUAAAGUAGAUAAAACUUAAGUUACAAUUCUGGUUUUCCUCAAGACCUAAGACUUGUUAAUUGUCUUUGUUUAUCUCUCUGGAAACAUCUUCCCACCACAUGUAUUUUCUGCCUUAAAAGAAUUUAAAAGGUGAUCAAAAAAUCUAACACUGGCUACCCGCUCGGGACCCCUUCCAUGCUGUGGAAGCUUUGUACUGUCACUCUGCUCAAUAAAGCCUGCAGCUUUUUUUUCUCUCAGUUGAUCCAUGUCUCUCUCUCACCGAAGGCUGCCUCCACACCAAAUCUUUGGUGUGGCUAAGGCAAGAACCUUCGGCAUUAGACAAAUAUCAG
RNAcentral lists this long non-coding RNA (1246 nucleotides) under Homo sapiens (human). Its description in RNAcentral is "HSALNT0073335". The record is from RNAcentral. Lineage: Eukaryota; Metazoa; Chordata; Mammalia; Primates; Hominidae.